This 256-nucleotide ribosomal RNA is filed under the name uncultured bacterium. RNAcentral describes it as "partial 16S ribosomal RNA". It matches the Rfam family "Bacterial small subunit ribosomal RNA", at positions 521 to 776 of the family's 1533-position model. The record is from RNAcentral.
UAAUACGGAGGAUCCGAGCGUUAUCCGGAUUUAUUGGGUUUAAAGGGAGCGUAGGCGGAUAUUUAAGUCAGUUGUGAAAGUUUGCGGCUCAACCGUAAAAUUGCAGUUGAUACUGGAUAUCUUGAGUGCAGUAAAGGUGGGCGGAAUUCGUGGUGUAGCGGUGAAAUGCUUAGAUAUCACGAAGAACUCCGAUUGCGAAGGCAGCUCACUGGAGUGUAACUGACGCUGAUGCUCGAAAGUGUGGGUAUCAAACAGG